This 210-nucleotide unclassified non-coding RNA is filed under the name Hevea brasiliensis (rubber tree). Lineage: Eukaryota; Viridiplantae; Streptophyta; Magnoliopsida; Malpighiales; Euphorbiaceae. The record is from RNAcentral.
GUCUCCAAGCAUAGUGGUGGACUCAGUGAAUUAAGUUACUUGAAUAAUUUGAGAGAAGAUCUAGAGAUCUUGAAUCUUCAGUAUGUGAAAAAUCCAGCAUCUGAAUUUGNNNNUCGAUUUGAAAGAGAAGCAACACCUUCAAUCCUUAUCGUUAGCAUGGCAGUUGGGCGAUCGCUAUGAUAAUGAUAGUAAUAGGGGUCCAGAUAAUGU